This 353-nucleotide non-coding RNA is filed under the name Cephalotus follicularis. RNAcentral describes it as "Bacterial small subunit ribosomal RNA". It matches the Rfam family "Bacterial small subunit ribosomal RNA", at positions 233 to 390 of the family's 1533-position model. The record is from Rfam by way of RNAcentral. Lineage: Eukaryota; Viridiplantae; Streptophyta; Magnoliopsida; Oxalidales; Cephalotaceae.
ACGAAUAUAAGCGAGUGCACAAUAUGGAAUUGUCACACCUGAGCGAAGGUGAUCGUCACUAUUAUGGUCUGAUUGUAUUUUGGACUUAUGAAAUCGUUGGCCAAGGUUGAGGUAGAUUGGAAAAUAGAUUUUCAGAGAAUCUACCAAAGGUCCUAGUAAUAAUAAGAUAUUUAGGAGUUGAGGUAUUAUCUAGGGUUGACACGUAUCCUUACCGUAGACCACAAUCGUUGUGAAGGCGAUGAUCAGUAGCUUGUCCGAGAGGAUGAUCAGCCACACUGGGACUGAGACACGGCCCAGACUCCUACGGGAGGCAGCAGUUGGGAAUUUUCCGCAAUGGCCAAAAGCCUGACCAU